RNAcentral lists this transfer RNA (69 nucleotides) under Urocitellus parryii (Arctic ground squirrel). Its description in RNAcentral is "Spermophilus parryii (Arctic ground squirrel) tRNA". It matches the Rfam family "tRNA". Rfam says of the family: Transfer RNA (tRNA) molecules are approximately 80 nucleotides in length. Their secondary structure includes four short double-helical elements and three loops (D, anti-codon, and T loops). Further hydrogen bonds mediate the characteristic L-shaped molecular structure. tRNAs have two regions of fundamental functional importance: the anti-codon, which is responsible for specific mRNA codon recognition, and the 3' end, to which the tRNAs corresponding amino acid is attached (by aminoacyl-tRNA synthetases). tRNAs cope with the degeneracy of the genetic code in two manners: having more than one tRNA (with a specific anti-codon) for a particular amino acid; and 'wobble' base-pairing, i.e. permitting non-standard base-pairing at the 3rd anti-codon position. The record is from Rfam by way of RNAcentral. RNAcentral also lists the same sequence under 2 other names. Lineage: Eukaryota; Metazoa; Chordata; Mammalia; Rodentia; Sciuridae.
GGGGUUGUGGCUCAGUUGUAGAGUGCUUGCCUAGCAUGCAUGAGGCACUGGGUUCGAUUCUCAGCACCA